This 449-nucleotide ribosomal RNA is filed under the name uncultured bacterium. Its description in RNAcentral is "bacterial SSU rRNA". It matches the Rfam family "Bacterial small subunit ribosomal RNA", at positions 329 to 792 of the family's 1533-position model. The record is from RNAcentral.
AACCAGACUCCUACGGGAGGCAGCAGUGGGGAAUAUUGGGCAAUGGGCGCAAGCCUGACCCAGCAACGCCGCGUGAAGGAAGAAGGCUUUCGGGUUGUAAACUUCUUUUCUGGGGGACGAAGAAAGUGACGGUACCCCAGGAAUAAGCCACGGCUAACUACGUGCCAGCAGCCGCGGUAAUACGUAGGGAGCAAGCGUUGUCCGGAAUUACUGGGUGUAAAGGGAGCGUAGGCGGGAAUGCAAGUUGGAAGUGAAAGGUAUGGGCUCAACCCAUGAACUGCUUUCAAAACUGUAUUUCUUGAGUGAAGUAGAGGCAGGCGGAAUUCCUAGUGUAGCGGUGAAAUGCGUAGAUAUUAGGAGGAACACCAGUGGCGAAGGCGGCCUGCUGGGCUUUAACUGACGCUGAGGCUCGAAAGCGUGGGUAGCAAACAGGAUUAGAUACCCCUGUA